Small nuclear RNA from Peromyscus eremicus (cactus mouse), 107 nucleotides. The record is from RefSeq and is a predicted model, not a curated record. NCBI's taxonomy places the organism in Eukaryota, Metazoa, Chordata, Mammalia, Rodentia, Cricetidae.
GAGCUCACUUUGACAGCACAUACACUAAAAUUAGAACAACGCAGAGAAAAUUAGCAUGGCCCCUGCACAAGGAUGACACACAAAUUAGGGAAGCAGUCCAUAUUUUU